GGGUCUGGCUGGCCGGUCCGCCUCACCGCGAGUACUGGUCCGGCUGGACCUUUCCUUCUGGGGAAUCUCAUGGCCUUCACUGGCUGUGGGGGGAACCAGGACUUUUACUGUGAAAAAAUUAGAGUGUUCAAAGCAGGCCUUUGCUCGAAUACAUUAGCAUGGAAUAAUAGAAUAGGACGUGCGGUUCUAUUUUGUUGGUUUCUAGGACCGCCGUAAUGAUUAAUAGGGAUAGUCAGGGGCGUCAGUAUUCAGCUGUCAGAGGUGAAAUUCUUGGAUUUGCUGAAGACUAACUACUGCGAAAGCAUUCGCCAAGGAUGUUUUCAUUAAUCACGGAACGAAAGUUAGGGGAUCGAAGACGAUCAGAUACCGCCGUAGUCUUAACCAUAAACUAUGCCGACUAGGGAUCGGACGGUGUUUCUAUUAUGACCCGUUCGGCACCUUACGAGAAAUCAAAGUUUUUGGGUUCUGCGGGGAGUAUGGUC
Molecule: ribosomal RNA, 482 nt
Filed under: uncultured eukaryote
Lineage: Eukaryota
Description: SSU rRNA
Rfam family: Eukaryotic small subunit ribosomal RNA
Source: RNAcentral